Molecule: ribosomal RNA, 253 nt
Filed under: uncultured bacterium
Lineage: Bacteria
Description: partial 16S ribosomal RNA
Rfam family: Bacterial small subunit ribosomal RNA
Source: RNAcentral
UACGAGGGGGGCGAGCGUUGUUCGGAAUUAUUGGGCGUAAAGGGCGCGUAGGCGGUGCGGUAAGUCUGUAGUGAAAUCUCUGGGCUCAACUCAGAGUCUGCUGCAGAAACUGCCGUGCUUGAGUGUGGGAGAGGUGAGUGGAAUUCCCGGUGUAGCGGUGAAAUGCGUAGAAAUCGGGAGGAACACCUGUGGCGAAAGCGGCUCACUGGACCACAACUGACGCUGAGGCGCGAAAGCGUGGGGAGCAAACAGG